CCUCAGUAACGGCGAGUGAACGGGGAUGAGCCCAGCGCUAAAUCUCGUCGCUCUAACGGGUGCCGAGAGGUGUAGCGUAUAGUAGGUGAUUUUCCUUGUGGGCCGUCGACUUAAAUUCUCCUUGACUGGGGUUCCGUAGAAGGUGAAAGGCCUGUUCAGUCGAUGGCCCGCGUGGAUUCCACACUACUCGGAGUCGGGUUGUUUGGGAACGCAGCCCAAAUUUGGUGGUAAACUUCAUCUAAGGCUAAAUACGGCCACGAAACCGAUAGCAAACAAGUACCGUGAGGGAAAGUUGAAAAGUACUUUGAAGAGAGAGUUCAAGAGGACGUGAAACCGGUAGGAUGGAAACGGAUAGAGCCAACGAACAAGCCCGUAUUCAGCUAGUCGGCUGCGCCCUGUGUGCGGUCGGCUAGUGCAUUUGCGGGUGAUGUGUGCUGAGGCGUGUGGUGGUGYGCUGCAAACUGCGCGGAGAGGCCUCGUCUUCACGGACUUGGAACCUACGCGUUGGGAGUAGGGUCGCUGCUGCACGUAGUCNAUCGGACUAGGUGAAUUCGCGCUGUUGGGUCGUCAGGCUAKCUGCUUGGUCGGUCGCAUGCGACUAGGCCUUGUUGGUUGGUUUCGGCGGCACGCCAGUGCCCUGGUCGCGCCUCGGUGUAAAAGUUGGUUAUCUCUCCGACCCGUCUUGAAACACGGACCAAGGAGUCUAGCGUAUGCGCGAGUCAUUGAGUGGAAAACUCAUAGGCGCAAUGAAAGUGAAGGUCUCCUCGCGGGACUCAUAUGCGAUCUGUUGUGUUGCGGCACGGCAGAGCAGCAUAGCCCCGUCUCGACUGCUUGCAGUGGGGCGGCGGAUGAGCGUGUGCGCUGGUACCCGAAAGAUGGUGAACUAUGCCUGAGCAGGAUGAAGCCAGGGGAAACCCUGGUGGAGGUCCGAAGCGCUUCUGACGUGCAAAUCGAUCGUCUGACUUGGGUAUAGGGGCGAAAGACUAAUCGA
This 991-nucleotide ribosomal RNA is filed under the name Cephalobus cubaensis. Its description in RNAcentral is "eukaryotic LSU rRNA". It matches the Rfam family "Eukaryotic large subunit ribosomal RNA", at positions 78 to 938 of the family's 3401-position model. The record is from RNAcentral. Lineage: Eukaryota; Metazoa; Nematoda; Chromadorea; Rhabditida; Cephalobidae.